GGGGGCGAUCGGAUUCGACUGGUUCUCCGCGAGGUGUGUGCGGCGUGUCGUGGUUGAUCAGUUGGCCACGUAAAAAGCUGAUCAAAAACAUAAUUGCCAACAAGCAAUUCUCAAUGGCCGCCUAAUUAGGCGACCCCGGCCAAGGAAUCCCUGUCUGAGGAGUCCGGCAGCCGGUCACAAAAUCGGACUGGCCCCUGUUCACUGUUCGCUACGGCAGGGGUGAGACUCGUUGUGAACUGGUUUCUGGAGGGUUUGCUGUUUGCCCCAAAGGAAAUGAGAACCAAGCAAGCUGCUACACACGUAGAUGCUGCAUUUCAGGGUUCGCAGGACGGGGGUUCAAUUCCCCCCGCCUCCAUCA
Molecule: transfer-messenger RNA, 358 nt
Filed under: Planctomycetaceae bacterium
Lineage: Bacteria; Pseudomonadati; Planctomycetota; Planctomycetia; Planctomycetales; Planctomycetaceae
Rfam family: transfer-messenger RNA
About the family: Bacterial tmRNA, also known as 10Sa RNA or SsrA, is named for its dual tRNA and mRNA-like properties. Its role is to liberate the mRNA from a stalled ribosome.
Source: RNAcentral